RNAcentral lists this ribosomal RNA (405 nucleotides) under uncultured bacterium. RNAcentral's name for it is "partial 16S ribosomal RNA". It matches the Rfam family "Bacterial small subunit ribosomal RNA", at positions 28 to 526 of the family's 1533-position model. The record is from RNAcentral.
GAUGAACGCUGGCGGCGUGCCUAAUACAUGCAAGUCGAGCGAAGCGGGGACGGGUGAGUAACACGUGGAUAACCUCCUUUAAGACUGGGAUAACUUCGGGAAACCGGAGCUAAACCGGAUAAUUAUAGAUGGAUCCGCGCUGCAUUAGCUAGUUGGGAAGGUAACGGCUUACCAGGGCAACGAUGCAUAGCCGACCUGAGAGGGUGAUCGGCCACACUGGAACGGCGACACGGUCCAGACUCCUACGGGAGGCACCAGUGGGGAAUCUUCCGCAAUGGGCGAAAGCCUGACGUAGCAACUCCGCGUGGAUGAUGAAGUUCUUCGGAUCGUAAAACUCUGUUAUUAGGGAAGCGGUACCUGAACAGAAAGCCACGGCUAACUACGUGCCAGCAGCCGCGGUAAUUC